This 189-nucleotide non-coding RNA is filed under the name Sporanaerobacter sp. PP17-6a. Lineage: Bacteria; Bacillati; Bacillota; Tissierellia; Tissierellales; Sporanaerobacteraceae. RNAcentral also lists the same sequence under 1 other name. The record is from RNAcentral.
AUUGAAUAUUAUCAUUUAGGUUCUCUGUUUUUAGAGAUUAAAAGGGAAUCAGGUGAAAAUCCUGAACGAUCCGGUCACUGUAAGUGGAAAGCGGCUUUUCAAAUAUACCACUGAAAAUUUUAUUUUUGGGAAGGUGAAAGGCAGUGUUGAACCAUAAGUCAGGAGACCUGCCUAUAUGGAGAUAGCGUU